UAUCCACCAAUCUCGUUUGGCUCGCUCCCGCCCAUCGCCCGACCCUGCCCACCUUCUCCUCCUCCUCUUUCUCCGCUCUGUUUCACUGCCGAAGACCCGAUGCUCGGAUUGGCUCGAGGGCAGGCGGCAGUGAUGGUGGUGGUGAUGCGGAUGCAAGCGCAGAUUUGAUGUUGCUGCAGGCUUCGAGAUGGCUUCUGAGAAACAUGAGCAGGCGGAGUUGCCAUCGAGAUCGGCAUCGAGUUCGGUGUUUUGUCGCGUGAUAUGACACCUCGGUACGUAAUUUCUUGCUUGCUUCGUUGAACUCGGUGCUUUUGUUCCUGGAUUUGGUCAAUUCUUGAGAUGGGUAUUAGGAACCGAUGUGUGAAUCCGUUGUAUCUGGCUUCGGGAACGGCAAAA
This is a long non-coding RNA of Musa acuminata AAA Group (dessert banana), 396 nucleotides long. RefSeq lists it as uncharacterized. The record is from RefSeq and is a predicted model, not a curated record. The transcript is spliced from 2 exons. NCBI's taxonomy places the organism in Eukaryota, Viridiplantae, Streptophyta, Magnoliopsida, Zingiberales, Musaceae.